This is a long non-coding RNA of Nothoprocta perdicaria, 495 nucleotides long. RefSeq lists it as uncharacterized. The record is from RefSeq and is a predicted model, not a curated record. The transcript is spliced from 4 exons. NCBI's taxonomy places the organism in Eukaryota, Metazoa, Chordata, Aves, Tinamiformes, Tinamidae.
CCUUAAGCACAUGCUUUUUUGCUGAAAUAUAAACACUCCUGGCAAAACAGUGUUCGUGAAUUUGAUGAAAAAGAUGGAUGCCCAGGACAUCAAAAUGAAGAAUAAGUCAAAAAUACCGAACUUGAACUUAUGAUUCUGUAUACUAAUGAAGAACUCAAUUGGCUGCUUUCCAUGUGCACAAGACAACUGGAGCUCACCAGAAAAACUUAGAAACUCCAAAGAUGGAAAACCAGAUGUAGUCCCUUGGGUUAUGAAUGAGGGUUUUCAAAAAAGAUGUGUGGCAGAGAAAUAUGAAGAAGGUGCUGCACAGUGGUGCUGCUGAAGGAACGGCUGUAAAAGAAGGCAGUGAUUCAGAUUCAGGUACACUGAAGAACCCCAUCAUCAGUAAGCCCUCGGGGGGAUGAAGAACAAAAUGGCUGAAGAGUUUUAUGGAGCGUAUGAGAGAAAAGAUUCCCCCUAUGCAUGUUAAACAGGACAGAGAUGACACAAGGUAUA